RNAcentral lists this ribosomal RNA (552 nucleotides) under uncultured Glomus. RNAcentral describes it as "SSU rRNA". It matches the Rfam family "Eukaryotic small subunit ribosomal RNA", at positions 550 to 1098 of the family's 1831-position model. The record is from RNAcentral. Lineage: Eukaryota; Fungi; Glomeromycota; Glomeromycetes; Glomerales; Glomeraceae.
GGAGGGCAAGUCUGGUGCCAGCAGCCGCGGUAAUUCCAGCUCCAAUAGCGUAUAUUAAAGUUGUUGCAGUUAAAAAGCUCGUAGUUGAAUUUCGGGAUUGACACAUCGGUCGUGCCUUAAGGGGUAUGAACUGGUGUAGUCAAUUUCUCACCUUCUGGAGAACCGCGAUGCCCUUAAUUGGGUGUCACGGGGAACCAGGACCUUUACUUUGAAAAAAUUAGAGUGUUUAAAGCAGGCAUUUUGCUUGAAUACAUUAGCAUGGAAUAAUGAAAUAGGACGUUUGAUUCUAUUUUGUUGGUUUCUAGGAUCGACGUAAUGAUUAAUAGGGAUAGUUGGGGGCAUUAGUAUUCAAUUGUCAGAGGUGAAAUUCUUGGAUUUAUUGAAGACUAACUACUGCGAAAGCAUUUGCCAAGGAUGUUUUCAUUAAUCAAGAACGAAAGUUAGGGGAUCGAAGACGAUCAGAUACCGUCGUAGUCUUAACCAUAAACUAUGCCGACUAGGGAUCGGAUGAUGUUAAUUUUUUAAUGACUCAUUCGGCGCCUUACGGGAAAC